GAACCAAAAUCCUGAGAAUUUCAGGUUUUCCAGAUUAUGAAAAACAUACAGAUCAGUCCUGGUAUAUUGUCCUCGUACCGAAACCGAAUAUCGAAAAUUUUAGUAUCGGAUCUCCGAAUUGCUACCCUAAUUAAGCCAAUGAUUCUUCUAUCUGACUUGCAGGAAGGUGGCGAGGAAUGGAAAACUAUGGAGAAAGCAUGGGGUGGAGUCUGGCACUUGCCUAUUCCACCAAGAGGAUCCCUUAAGCUUAAGGUCCAAGUUGGCAACAGCUAUGGAGACAAAAAAUGGAUAGAGGCAAAGAAGUCCUUACCGAGUUCGUGGAAGCCCGGUGCUGCUUACGAUUCCCAUGUCCAGCUUUCUUGAAGAGGAUUCGAAAGACCGAAAGCCGAGUUCAGGCUCCUUCUGCGAAUAUUUUAGGAGUCCUGCAUGCUCGAAAAAAAGCAUACAAAGUUGUUACUCAGUAUAUGUAUUUCAAACUCACUGUUUGCAGCUAACUUGAUCAGCAGAAAUGUAUCAAGAG
This 520-nucleotide long non-coding RNA is filed under the name Linum usitatissimum (flax). RNAcentral describes it as "long non-coding RNA (LUSI_LNC001954)". The record is from RNAcentral. Lineage: Eukaryota; Viridiplantae; Streptophyta; Magnoliopsida; Malpighiales; Linaceae.